UGAUGUUCACGUUGCUAAUUGGCGAGGUCCUCUUCCAGGAUUGGCUGCCUCCUCAUAACCAUAAGAUAAUUAAAACUUGGGGGGAGGGCAGGGUUAAAAAAACUUUUUUUUUUUUUUUUUUUAUCAGCAGAGGAUAAUGCAAGUGUUUAACAGAUGCUUCGCUAUUAAACUAUUUUUUUCCCCCAAGUCUCAAAUAUUGAAGAAUCUCUAACCAGGGACAGCAGCCCCAACGAAGACCUCGGCAGAUUGCAAAGUGCGGGCACCUCGAUUCCCUGAAUCUGUAGUGUGGCUGGUAUCGGUGUUCCCCUGGUUUAACUAGCCUGUUUGGCAUAACAAAUGAGACCCAAGUGCUCACAGAACAUUCCAAAGAGUCAACAGAGAGAAGUGGAAACUAUUAGAAACAUGAUUGUGUUUGCAAAGGGAGACAUAAAUGUAAGCUUAGCUUGGCCAAAAUCUUAAAUUCAAGCACUGAAUCUAAUUACAGACCUACAUACAAAAAAGAUGUUUAGAAGUUGAUUCCGUGUAAUAGAUGUUACCUGCACGACUACUGGAAGCAUUUGAGUUUACUUAGUUAAAUAGAGAAGGGAAUGAUUAUCUCAUUUUCUUCAAACCAGGACAAAUUUGGUAAGUUGGCAAAAUGGAUAAAUUGUUGAAUUUCCUUGACUUCAUCUCACUCCUGACCAAAAAUGAGGUCUUCCCUCUUCCCUUUCUCCAUCAAAUGCUCAUUUUUUCUUUUCCCUUUCUUCAUCAAAUUCUUAUUCUUUUUAUUGCAGUUAGCAUCCCCCAAGGAGAGUAUUCUAAUAAGGGAAUCCACACUGAUGUAAAUGACUGCACCAGCUUGACGUUUUACCCCUCCAGAGUUCCUGGAAGUUUAAAAGAGGAUAGUAACCAUGGCUUCACCUCUGGCAUCUGCCAAGUCAGCGGAGAUACUUAUAGGGACAUAACUCUUAUUUUGCAUGAUUGUAGUCUCUCAAAUCAAAUUAUAUAUUUUUGAUUAUUGGCUUUUACACUGUGUAUGUAAGGCAAGCCUUACCCUAAAGCCUAUUUCUAUGAGCCCAUUCAGAUUUCUACACCAGAAUCUAGAAAACUGAAAGAAAUCAACAGGGAAAUGUUUAAAAAGAUGGGGAAAUUGAGGCAGAGAAAUCAAGACAUUUGCUGCAGGUCGUGCAGGCUAUGAAUGGAGCUGGAAUGUGAACGCAGGCCGUGUGACUCCAGAGCCCAUGUUCUUGAACUCUUAGCAAGACAGCAGCAACGCACCUGGUGCAGCAGCUGCUUAGCUGGAGUGGCUGACAAGGUUGGGAGAGGGUCCUGUUCCUCCAUGGAGUGGCUGCCGAGACACUGCUUACACCGAAGCUGCUUCUAUUCCUGAAAUAUGGAUUGUUAUUCUUUUCCCACCCUCGUUGAACAUUGUACUCUUCUGUUCUUUCCUAUUCUCUUCUUUCCUUCCAGAUGGCUCCUACGGUUUUUAUGAUUCUGUAAUUCUAAGGAAGAAAGGGUAAUGAAAGUUGUAAUGUGAGUGUG
This is a long non-coding RNA of Sapajus apella (tufted capuchin), 1521 nucleotides long. RefSeq lists it as uncharacterized. NCBI's taxonomy places the organism in Eukaryota, Metazoa, Chordata, Mammalia, Primates, Cebidae. The record is from RefSeq and is a predicted model, not a curated record. The transcript has 6 exons.